UAUUCUGCCCUACGGGGAAGGAUGAGAAGCUUCGACUAAGGUUCGACUCGAGCGUAGCGAGAGAAC
This 66-nucleotide small RNA is filed under the name Klebsiella quasipneumoniae subsp. similipneumoniae. RNAcentral describes it as "partial RtT sRNA". It matches the Rfam family "RtT RNA", at positions 1 to 66 of the family's 130-position model. Rfam says of the family: This family represents a bacterial cis-regulatory element known as RtT RNA. The exact function of RtT is unknown although it is thought that it may be involved in changing the cellular response in relation to amino acid starvation. Lineage: Bacteria; Pseudomonadati; Pseudomonadota; Gammaproteobacteria; Enterobacterales; Enterobacteriaceae. The record is from RNAcentral.